This 497-nucleotide ribosomal RNA is filed under the name uncultured bacterium. Its description in RNAcentral is "partial 16S ribosomal RNA". It matches the Rfam family "Bacterial small subunit ribosomal RNA", at positions 28 to 507 of the family's 1533-position model. The record is from RNAcentral.
GAUGAACGCUGGCGGCGUGCCUAAUACAUGCAAGUCGAGCGAACAGAUAAGGAGCUUGCUCCUUUGACGUUAGCGGCGGACGGGUGAGUAACACGUGGAUAACCUACCUAUAAGACUGGGAUAACUUCGGGAAACCGGAGCUAAUACCGGAUAACAUAUUGAACCGCAUGGUUCAAUAGUGAAAGGCGGCUUUGCUGUCACUUAUAGAUGGAUCCGCGCCGUAUUAGCUAGUUGGUAAGGUAACGGCUUACCAAGGCAACGAUACGUAGCCGACCUGAGAGGGUGAUCGGCCACACUGGAACUGAGACACGGUCCAGACUCCUACGGGAGGCAGCAGUAGGGAAUCUUCCGCAAUGGGCGAAAGCCUGACGGAGUAACGCCGCGUGAGUGAUGAAGGUCUUCGGAUCGUAAAACUCUGUUAUCAGGGAAGAACAAAUGUGUAAGUAACUGUGCACAUCUUGACGGUACCUGAUCAGAAAGCCACGGCUAACUACGUG